UCGAGGAUCUUCGGCAAUGGGCGCAAGCCUGACCGAGCGACGCCGCGUGUGCGAUGAAGGCCUUCGGGUUGUAAAGCACUGUCGAGGGGGAGGAAAGCCGCAAGGUCUGACCUAUCCCUGGAGGAAGCACGGGCUAAGUUCGUGCCAGCAGCCGCGGUAAGACGAACCGUGCGAACGUUGUUCGGAAUCACUGGGCUUAAAGGGCGCGUAGGCGGGUCAUCAAGUCCGGGGUGAAAUCUUUCGGCUCAACCGGAAAAGUGCCUUGGAUACUGCUGGUCUUGAGGGAGGUAGGGGCAUGUGGAACUUCCGGUGGAGCGGUGAAAUGCGUUGAUAUCGGAAGGAACUCCGGUGGCGAAAGCGACGUGCUGGACCUCUUCUGACGCUGAGGCGCGAAAGCUAGGGGAGCGAACGGGAUUAGAUACCCCCGUAGUCC
This 433-nucleotide ribosomal RNA is filed under the name uncultured bacterium. Its description in RNAcentral is "bacterial SSU rRNA". It matches the Rfam family "Bacterial small subunit ribosomal RNA", at positions 355 to 796 of the family's 1533-position model. The record is from RNAcentral.